This 505-nucleotide ribosomal RNA is filed under the name uncultured Microgenomates group bacterium. RNAcentral describes it as "bacterial SSU rRNA". It matches the Rfam family "Bacterial small subunit ribosomal RNA", at positions 970 to 1500 of the family's 1533-position model. The record is from RNAcentral.
CUUACCAGGACUUGACAUCUCGGGAAUCCUCCAGAAAUGGGGGAGUUCCGUUAGGAACCCGAUGACAGGUGUUGCAUGGUUGUCGUCAGCUCGUGCCUUGAGGCGUACUGUUAAGUCAGGAAACGAGCGCAACCCUCAUCGUAUGUUGCUUAUUUCAUGCGAGACUGCCGACUCCAAGUCGGAGGAAGGUGAGGAUGACGUCAAAUCAGCAUGGCCCUUAUGUCCUGGGCUACACACGUGCUACAAUGGCCGAAACAAAGGGUAGCAAAGCCGGAAGGCGGAGCCAAUCCCAUCAAAAUCGGUCUCAGUUCGGAUUGAGGGCUGCAACUCGCCCUCAUGAAGUUGGAAUCGCUAGUAAUCGUGAAUCAUCACGUCACGGUGAAUAUGUUCCUAGGUCUUGUACUCACCGCCCGUCAAGUCAUGGAAGAUAGGAGCACUCGAAGUCCCACAAUAAAGUGGGCCUAAGGUGAAACUAUUGACUGGGACUAAGUCGUAACAAGGUAAC